Molecule: ribosomal RNA, 254 nt
Filed under: uncultured bacterium
Lineage: Bacteria
Description: partial 16S ribosomal RNA
Rfam family: Bacterial small subunit ribosomal RNA
Source: RNAcentral
GACAGAGGGUGCAAACGUUUGUUCGGAAUUACUGGGCGUAAAGCGUGUGUAGGCGGUGAGGUAAGUCGGAUGUGAAAGCCCAGGGCUCAACCCUGGAAGUGCACUCGAUACUGCUUCGCUUGAGUACUGGAGAGGUUGGUGGAAUUCUCGGUGUAGAGGUGAAAUUCGUAGAUAUCGAGAGGAACAUCUGUGGCGAAGGCGGCCAACUGGACAGAUACUGACGCUGAGACACGAAAGUGCGGGGAGCAAACAGG